Molecule: long non-coding RNA, 324 nt
Filed under: Bos taurus (domestic cattle)
Lineage: Eukaryota; Metazoa; Chordata; Mammalia; Artiodactyla; Bovidae
Description: long non-coding RNA NONBTAT011559
Source: RNAcentral
GAAAAAGCUACCAACACAUGAAAGCAGGGUGAAGGGUAGGCAGGAUGAAAGUAACUAAGUAACCUGACUCAGAACUCUCAAAAGCUUCUAGCAGCUUGAUGACAAUUACAGGAUUUAUUUCAGCCAGGAUAAUGUCUGUGGUACAUUAUUUGAAGACAAUAUUACUUCAUGUUGUUACAAACUGUAUGUAUAGUGUGUAUGUGUUGUGGGUGUCCACACAUGUGUACUGCCUGUCCCAUGAGGUAUCGUCGAUGUCAUGUCAAAUCCAGAACUCAUAAAGCAACGCCAGUGGUAUUUUAUUUGUAGACAAUCAACUCAAAUCUA